CUUCAAAAUGGCGAACAAUUUCGUCAAUUUCGAUUCAAAUAAUUGCAGAGGAAGGCUCCUGAUCUGUUAUAUAAGCAAUCGUUAUGCAUUUUUGCGUACAAAAUACAAACAUUAUUACUGAGGAAAGUAUUUAAUUUGUUGGUUUGUGAAUUUCGACCUUAAAACUAGCCAAGCAAGUGAUUUUGUCUAGAUCACUGGACAUGUGGUAUUUACUUUCGUCUGACAGUUUCAAGAAUGCUAUGGAGUCAAGUGGACAUUAUUUAAACUUGAAAAUGUUUAUUUUGGUAACAGAUGUCAGUGAAGAAAAGCCAAUACAUCUGCUGGACCCGGGAAUGAAAAACUAGG
Molecule: non-coding RNA, 345 nt
Organism: Paramuricea clavata
Lineage: Eukaryota; Metazoa; Cnidaria; Anthozoa; Malacalcyonacea; Plexauridae
Source: the annotation of a GenBank genome assembly